AUGCUUGCUUCAGCAGCACGCAUACUAAAAUUGGAACAAUACAGAGGAGAUUAGCAUGGCCCCUGCGCAAGGAUGACACGCAAAUUUGUGAAGGAUUCCAUAUUUCC
Small nuclear RNA from Gorilla gorilla gorilla (western lowland gorilla), 107 nucleotides. The record is from Ensembl. NCBI's taxonomy places the organism in Eukaryota, Metazoa, Chordata, Mammalia, Primates, Hominidae.